Molecule: ribosomal RNA, 625 nt
Filed under: uncultured bacterium
Lineage: Bacteria
Description: bacterial SSU rRNA
Rfam family: Bacterial small subunit ribosomal RNA
Source: RNAcentral
CCUACGGGAGGCAGCAGUGGGGAAUUUUGGACAAUGGGCGCAAGCCUGAUCCAGCCAUGCCGCGUGUGGGAAGAAGGCCUUCGGGUUGUAAACCACUUUUGUCAGGGAAGAAACGGUCUGGUCUAAUAAACCGGACUAAUGACGGUACCUGAAGAAUAAGCACCGGCUAACUACGUGCCAGCAGCCGCGGUAAUACGUAGGGUGCAAGCGUUAAUCGGAAUUACUGGGCGUAAAGCGUGCGCAGGCGGCUUUGCAAGACAGAUGUGAAAUCCCCGGGGCUCAACCUGGGAACUGCAUUUGUGACUGCAAGGCUAGAGUACGGCAGAGGGGGGAUGGAAUUCCGCGUGUAGCAGUGAAAUGCGUAGAUAUGCGGAGGAACACCGAUGGCGAAGGCAAUCCCCUGGGCCUGUACUGACGCUCAUGCACGAAAGCGUGGGGAGCAAACAGGAUUAGAUACCCUGGUAGUCCACGCCCUAAACCGAUGUCAACUGGUUGUUGGGAGGGUUUCUUCUCAGUAACGAAGCUAACGCGUGAAGUUGACCGCCUGGGGAGUACGGCCGCAAGGUUGAAACGUCAAAGAGUAAGUGGCGGNGNGAGNGACGACGACGACGACGACGGAGGGAGG